AUCUGGGGGUGGUGCAGUUGGUUGCACUGUUGUCUUGCAGCUAAGACGUCCUGGGUUUGAAUCCCAGCCUGGGGU
This is a non-coding RNA of Characodon lateralis, 75 nucleotides long. The record is from the annotation of a GenBank genome assembly. NCBI's taxonomy places the organism in Eukaryota, Metazoa, Chordata, Actinopteri, Cyprinodontiformes, Goodeidae.